Molecule: long non-coding RNA, 299 nt
Filed under: Oryctolagus cuniculus (rabbit)
Lineage: Eukaryota; Metazoa; Chordata; Mammalia; Lagomorpha; Leporidae
Description: lncRNA (ENSOCUG00000033810.1)
Source: RNAcentral
GUGUGUGUCUCAGGAGUUGUCAUUUGUCUUUCUUGCUGAUGCUUGUAAACAGGUUAUCUCCUGAGAACAGUAAGUGAUGUAAUAAUAGAUCAGCAGGGAAUGGAAGCUCCAUGUUCUAUGCAUUAAUGCAUCAAAUAUGCCAACAUUAAAAUGAAGUAUAAUUUCCUGAGGGAUAUCUUAAGUUGAAAAUUACAUGCUGAUCACUAAAGAAACCAAAGGUUUCCCCUUUGGUGCUCAGUUAGUUGUCGCUGGCACCUUCUUAUCCUAAGAUGCCACCCUGCUCCACCUUACAAGAUAUG